CCUACGGGAGGCAGCAGUAGGGAAUUUCCACAAUGGACGCAAGUCUGAUGGAGCAACGCCGCGUGAGUGAAGAAGGGUUUCGGCUCGUAAAACUCUGUUGUUGAAGAAGAACGUGCGUGAGAGUAACUGUUCACGCAGUGACGGUAUUCAACCAGAAAGUCACGGCUAACUACGUGCCAGCAGCCGCGGUAAU
This 193-nucleotide ribosomal RNA is filed under the name uncultured Lactobacillus sp. RNAcentral describes it as "partial 16S ribosomal RNA". It matches the Rfam family "Bacterial small subunit ribosomal RNA", at positions 338 to 524 of the family's 1533-position model. Lineage: Bacteria; Bacillati; Bacillota; Bacilli; Lactobacillales; Lactobacillaceae. The record is from RNAcentral.